This 429-nucleotide ribosomal RNA is filed under the name Chloroflexota bacterium. RNAcentral's name for it is "Chloroflexi bacterium partial 16S ribosomal RNA". It matches the Rfam family "Bacterial small subunit ribosomal RNA", at positions 355 to 776 of the family's 1533-position model. Lineage: Bacteria; Bacillati; Chloroflexota. The record is from RNAcentral.
UGGGGAAUAUUGCACAAUGGGCGCAAGCCUGAUGCAGCCAUGCCGCGUGUGUGAAGAAGGCCUUCGGGUUGUAAAGCACUUUCAGCGGGGAGGAAGGCGAUAAGGUUAAUAACCUUGUCGAUUGACGUUACCCGCAGAAGAAGCACCGGCUAACUCCGUGCCAGCAGCCGCGGUAAUACGGAGGGUGCAAGCGUUAAUCGGAAUUACUGGGCGUAAAGCGCACGCGGGCGGUCUGUCAAGUCGGAUGUGAAAUCCCCGGGCUCAACCUGGGAACUGCAUUCGAAACUGGCAGGCUAGAGUCUUGUAGAGGGGGGGAGAAUUCCAGGGGUAGCGGUGAAAUGCGUAGAGAUCUGGAGGAAUACCGGUGGCGAAGGCGGCCCCCUGGACAAAGACUGACGCUCAGGUGCGAAAGCGUGGGGAGCAAACAGG